CUUCUCUUUUCUUCAUCUCUUCUCACUGAAGCUUCCUUUUAUUUGUGCAGGUUCAAUUAAGGAAAUCAACUUCAACAAGUUUUCAUCCUUCCCAUUUCCUCGAACCAAGAAGAUGGUUUUUUGUGUUUUUAUUUUGGGGGUGUGCCGGCUGAUUUUAAGAAGCAUAUAAGGAAGUAAGGAUGUAUUCUGUUCUUUUUAAAGGUUAAUUGCAUAAUUAUAUGGGACUUUACAUUUACUUCACUGAUGUACAAACUGAUUUGGUAUUUUGGUUUGUUUUCUGGUCGAGCAAGUGCAUGCAAUACUUUUCUUGUGCCAAGUGCAACAACCAUCAAAAUUCAAAGUUUCUCUGCCACAACUUGAACUUGCUUUAGGUGCAACUGUGCAAGAUCUACUAAUCUCACGUCACGCCUCUACCCUCAAAUCUUUGCAACUUCGGUUUUAUAGAUCUGCUUCUUUUUGUACGUUUCUUUGAUUAGCUGAUCUCCAAAUUAACGAAAUAAAUGGUUCGGAUUUGUUACUCCAUUUACGGAUUACUUGG
Molecule: RNA transcript, 538 nt
Organism: Arabidopsis thaliana (thale cress)
Lineage: Eukaryota; Viridiplantae; Streptophyta; Magnoliopsida; Brassicales; Brassicaceae
Exons: 1
Source: RefSeq